Long non-coding RNA from Mauremys mutica (yellowpond turtle), 376 nucleotides. RefSeq lists it as uncharacterized. NCBI's taxonomy places the organism in Eukaryota, Metazoa, Chordata, Testudines, Geoemydidae. The record is from RefSeq and is a predicted model, not a curated record. The transcript is spliced from 3 exons.
CAGAAACUCACGCAGCCCCAGACCCCAAGGAUCUGCUCUGCGUGACUGGGCCCUAAGAUGGUUUCUCUGCCUCCCUUUUCACCAGCAGCUGAGCCGAAAUCAAUGGCGUUAUGAGAGUGUUUUAUGGCUGUAGGCGUCAAUGGUGGUCAGGAUGAGACCUGCUGUACAUCUAUUCCUUGCUUCUGAAUAUAUGGGAGUAACAAAGCCAGUGUGUGGAAACAUGCUGGCUACACAUGGGCUGUCCCUCGCUUGGGGCAGGGGCUUUCCCGAAGGACGGGCCCCUAGGAUGGUGCAGAGGGUGUUCAGAGCUGGCACUCGCCAACCCGACUUCCCACAGCAGGUCUGCUGGACGGCGUGAGCCCGAGGAUCACACAGC